This 305-nucleotide ribosomal RNA is filed under the name uncultured bacterium. RNAcentral's name for it is "bacterial SSU rRNA". It matches the Rfam family "Bacterial small subunit ribosomal RNA", at positions 335 to 656 of the family's 1533-position model. The record is from RNAcentral.
UUCGCUACGGGGGGCAGCAGUGGGGAAUAUUGCGCAAUGGGCGAAAGCCUGACGCAGCAACGCCGCGUGAAGGAAGACGGUUUUCGGAUUGUAAACUUCUGUUCUUAGUGAAGAAGAAUGACGGUAGCUAAGGAGCAAGCCACGGCUAACUACGUGCCAGCAGCCGCGGUAAUACGUAGGUGGCAAGCGUUGUCCGGAAUUACUGGGUGUAGAGGGAGCGCAGGCGGGAAGCCAAGUCAGCUGUGAAAACUACGGGCUUAACUUGUAGACUGCAGUUGAAACUGGUUUUCUUGAGUGAAGUAGAG